CGCACGGGUGCGUAACGCGUGGGAAUCUGCCCUCAGGUUCGGAAUAACAGUUGGAAACGACUGCUAAUACCGGAUGAUGACGUAAGUCCAAAGAUUUAUCGCCUGAGGAUGAGCCCGCGUAGGAUUAGCUAGUUGGUGUGGUAAAGGCGCACCAAGGCGACGAUCCUUAGCUGGUCUGAGAGGAUGAUCAGCCACACUGGGACUGAGACACGGCCCAG
This 218-nucleotide ribosomal RNA is filed under the name uncultured bacterium. Its description in RNAcentral is "partial 16S ribosomal RNA". It matches the Rfam family "Bacterial small subunit ribosomal RNA", at positions 99 to 334 of the family's 1533-position model. The record is from RNAcentral.